UUUUAUGGCUGAGAGUAAGCGGUAGAUUUUUAAUCUAUUGAGGAUUAAUUCUUUGCGAUGAUUUUUUUCAACAAAUCAUAAAGA
Molecule: transfer RNA, 84 nt
Filed under: Deroceras agreste
Lineage: Eukaryota; Metazoa; Mollusca; Gastropoda; Stylommatophora; Agriolimacidae
Description: tRNA-Lys
Source: RNAcentral